CCCAUAGCCGAUUGGCUUCAGACUGAGCAUUUCACAUUGGAAAUGGCUGCCAACAGUGAACUCAAGUUAGGGGUUAUAUUUAAUGUCAGACUGUCCUAUACCACUUUGCCCAACACAUUAUACCCCAGAGGUUGUAAAUAAACCCUUUAAAGUGAGUGCAGUGAGGACUUCAUGUGUGAGACGAGUAGAACUAACUUCCAGAAUCAUGGGAGGAGGAUUGAAAGUCCAUGCGCAUCCUUGGUCUUGAAGGAGAACAGGACGGCCCAGCGGUUACUUUCAGCGCUGCCUCCUCUGGUCCGAAGAGAGGUGAUGAUCCAGGGUCCCAAGAUGUCCAGUCCAACAUGAGUGAACGGAGGAUCAGAGGCACGUCUGUCUGCAGGAAAGUCUGACAUCUUUUGUUCUUCCAGUUUUCCUCUACGUUUUCUGCAGAUCACACACUUAUAGAUUAUGCUGGAUACCAGUCUUUUACUUCCAAUGAUCCACAAUCCAGCUGACCGGACUGCAC
Long non-coding RNA from Oncorhynchus tshawytscha (Chinook salmon), 505 nucleotides. NCBI's taxonomy places the organism in Eukaryota, Metazoa, Chordata, Actinopteri, Salmoniformes, Salmonidae. The record is from Ensembl.